This 783-nucleotide long non-coding RNA is filed under the name Anas platyrhynchos platyrhynchos (common mallard). RNAcentral describes it as "lncRNA (ENSAPLG00000020639.1)". Lineage: Eukaryota; Metazoa; Chordata; Aves; Anseriformes; Anatidae. The record is from RNAcentral.
GUUCUUUACUCAUAUAUUCCAGAAUAUAUCAGGACCCAGAAGGAUAUUGGUAUUGCUACCAGGUUUGGAAAGUUUAGCAAAUUAAGCUGACUCUCUGGAUAUCUUCCAAUACAGAUGAGGAAGCAGCAAAAACAAGGGUUGCUGGAAAGUAACUCCUUUAGACAGAUAGACAUUAACCUCCUCCUCAAAAACUGAAGCAAGGCAUGGGCAUGCACAGCAAAGCAGUAUGCUAUACAGAUGGCUUGCCAGCUCCUCGCUAUUGACAAUACAUGUCUAAUCUUCUUGCCAGUGAUGUCUGACAGUAUAGGAUCAGCAGCUCCUGCCUGCAGUAUGCUGCCAGAAAACAGUCCUCAAAAGUUCUGCAGAACCCAGACCCGAUUGCUGGACAGAGAAGAGAACAAGGAAAUACAGAAAAUAAGGGUGAUGAAUAUAAAAGUAAACAAUUUAUCUUUGUGAAAAGUAGGUUUAAAUGAAAGUGCUUCAUCAUCAAGUCUUAAAAAUGACCAAGCGAGUAACUGUCUACACAAAACUUACAAUACAGCUAAAUACUACAGACUGUUUAGGCCCAAGGUCUGCAUCAAUUGCCUCAGGUUGUGAUUUAUUUUUGAAUGUUUUGCCUCACAAGGCUAAACCUUCUGCUGCAGAAUCUAGGCCCUGGCUACCAUACCAGAAAAAAACUCAAAACUGAAGUGUCAGCUACUUGUUUGUUUGGAUUUACCCCACCCCCCAGAUUUAUUCAAACCUCCAUAUUUUAAAUUUUUACUCCAGAGAGGACUGGAAGAG